GACAGAGGUGCCGAGCGUUAGGCGGAAUCACUGGGCUUAAAGCGUGUGUAGGCGGAUGGGUAAGUACCUUGUGAAAUCCCACGGCUCAACCGUGGAACUGCUCGGUAUACUGCUCGUCUUGAGCCAACUAGGGGCGACCGGAACAAACGGUGGAGCGGUGAAAUGCGUAGAUAUCGUUUGGAACGCCGAUGGUGAAAACAGGUCGCUGGGGUUGUGCUGACGCUGAGGAGCGAAAGCGUGGGGAGCGAACAGG
RNAcentral lists this ribosomal RNA (253 nucleotides) under uncultured bacterium. RNAcentral's name for it is "partial 16S ribosomal RNA". It matches the Rfam family "Bacterial small subunit ribosomal RNA", at positions 524 to 776 of the family's 1533-position model. The record is from RNAcentral.